This 5614-nucleotide long non-coding RNA is filed under the name Physcomitrium patens. Its description in RNAcentral is "long non-coding RNA (PPAT_LNC013407)". Lineage: Eukaryota; Viridiplantae; Streptophyta; Bryopsida; Funariales; Funariaceae. The record is from RNAcentral.
GGAAGAAAAGACAGAGAAUUGGGUUUUCUCUUCUUCAUAAGGUUUUGGGAAGACUGAAGCAAUCGUUGCUGAAGUCAGUGUUGUAAUGGUGAAUCGGGAUUUUUUUAAUGAAGUGGGUUUGAUUACUCUUGACUAUUUUGUGAAAUCAAGUUACGUCUGUGAUUGAAGAAUUAAAGGGGUGUCUAUAGGAUUGAGUAUGCGGAGUGCAUGAAAUUUAUUGGGUUAAUCUAACAGGACAGUCAGUGGAUACAAGAUCGUAAGUACAAAGGGGUAUUGAAGAUUAACAGUUUGGGUUGUUCGGGGUUCUCUGUAACGUCUAGAGACCUACUGACUAGGGCAAAAAAAGAACUUCGACAAGCAGUCAAAGGGCAUCAGUAAAGAUUUAUGGUGUAUUCUUGCAGUCGUUUAUAUUCCAGAAGUAAAAACUGAUAGACUGCUUGACUAUCGGCGGAUCUCCAUACUACAUUCUACAGCCAGACGCCCGGCGCAUUCUCGAGCAGGAAAGCACGUAAUACGAUAUAAGUGGUGAACCCGACGUGAAAGCUUGAGGUGGAAGGUAUUGGAUUUUGGUUGAUUUUAUCUUUAUUUUAUGGAAAACGAAAAUAAAAAUUUUGAAGGAUUUUUGGGAGGAGUUUCUGGUGGGGAUUCUUCUAAAGGACAAGGUAUGCACAUGGAUCCGUCUAUUGCUAGUAUGUUUCAAGCCUUCUCAUUAUCAAUGCAGCAACAGCAAAGCAAUGAUCGAAAGGAAGCUUUGGCAACCAAAGCAUUACAAGCAGUGGUCAAUAAAAUUGAUCAAUUUGAUGGAAGGAAUAUUUCAAGGUAUUUAAGAUGUUAUGUUCGUGAAAUAGAAUUAAAUCGGGUUUCUGAGAAGAAAAUGGUUGAACUAUUUGGACUUGGCAUGAUACUUGAGAUAAGAGACGACAUUACAUCGAUUACGGAUCGUUAUGGGAAUUCAUGGGAGGAUUUUUUACAUGCAUUGAAAGACGAAUAUUUCUUGGAAGAUGCUGAUCGCGUUACUAAGAAGCUGUUGCUGGAAUGGAUUGAACGGCCCAAUAAGAAUUUGCAAGCAACAGAGCUACUAAGGGAAUUUGAGAGGUAAUAUUCUCAAUUGUCGAAGGUAGAAAAAGUGACAUUGGAGCCGAAUAAAGUUGAUCUCUUUCUUGAAGUUGCUGAUGGAGAAUUGGAAGAAAAAUUAGAACUCCUUCUUGAAGACAAAGAAGAAGAUGAAGGAUUGACAACGAAGUAGAAGAACGUUGAAGAUGCGGUGGGGUUGCUUACAAAAAAAAGAAAGGAGGAAGGAUAGGAGCAAUAUUCACAAAACAGUACAAGCACCCAAAGCUUCAGUACGUACAACACCACCAACAAUGCCUACAGUUCAACCUUCGACAUCCUUAUCAAAGAAAGCAGAUAUGGAAAUGGAAGAAAUUAUAUGAGGAAUGCGAGAUCUUCAAAUCAAAUUAGCAAGACUUGAAGAGAAUACUUCUACAAAUAAUUCGAAGAAUGUUUCAAAACAAGGAUAUGUACAAAGAUGCAUUUGGUGUGAUGAUGCUUCACACACUAGAAAAGAUUACAAUGAAUUUAAUAAUAUGAUACGGCAGGAAAUUAUUUGCUGAAAAGAUGAGAAGAUAGCAUUGAAAAAUAGAGAGGAUCUUCUUCAAACCAAUUUUGGUAAGGGAGAAAUGAGAGCAUUGGUUCAAGAUUACUUAAAAGAGCAUCAAACAGUAGUACGGGAAAGUGCAAGUUAUGGUGCUAGAGUAGAUGAUGAAAUUGGUGGAAGUACGGAAACUAGUGAGUUUUGGGCUUCUGCCGUUUCUACAAUGUAAGAAGGGAAAUUACCUCGAGAAGCGUUAUCGAGAACUGCAGCUACAAUACGAGGAAGAACAGGUUGGGAGGAUCCUGUUGAGUCUCUUUCAGUUCAUGCAUAUAUUGCUAAGAGCCAACAUGAAGCUUUGAUGGAAGAAAAAAGACGAGGAAAUUUUGAUGAUACUAGAGAAGGAAAUUCUUUUAAGAGGCAAACUCGAGGAGACAAGGCUCGGGAGGCAGCUUCACAAGAAUUGCCUGUAAAGGAUACCUCAGCAUCAUUGGGAGAGAAAAUAAAGUAGACAAAAGAUAAAGGCAAAUCAAUUGCUUAUAAGCUACUUUCUGACAUUGAAGCGGCAACAAAUUUAAAAGGGGUGUUGGAAGAACCUAUAUUAAACGCUAAGGUGGAAUUCACAUUGAAAGAAGUCUUGGGAAUUGCAAAGAAGGAGUCUCAUGAUGUUAUUAUUGACAGCAUUAAGCGAAAGAGGCAAUUAAUGAGCGAAACUGGAAUGAGUCAUGCUAUUGAUGCAAGAAUAUGUAGAGAUGAAGAAGAGGUUGAUAUUAGUUACAAGCAACCAACAAAUGAAAAGAAUGGGUAUAAUCAGCGAGUACGUUUCGAAGAUUCUAGUGACAAGGAAAUGGGAACUUUGAGCCAUUAUACUCGAAAGCAUUGGGCAAGGGCAACUACUGAGGUAUUGGUGAAGGUAGGAGAUAUAGAAGAACCAAUAGUUGCUUUGGUGGACCAUGGUUCUGAAAUAAAUUUCAUGUCUAAAGAUCUUUAUAAGAAGCAAAAAUGGCCAAUUGAUACGAAACAUGGAUGGACAAUUGGAGCGGCUAAUAACACAUAGGGCGAAUUAUAUGGAGCUUGUCCAAAUGUCAAAAUUUGGAUUGGGGAUGUUGCGACGGAGCAACAUUUCUUUGCUCAGGAUACAACGUCUUAUCCGUUGAUUUUAGAUCAAUCUUAUAUUACAGCAACACGGAUGGAAACAAAAGUACUUGACGAUGGUUCUGCUUAUGCAAGGGUAUGGAGCAAAGGUGGGAGGAAAGUUGUACAAUUUCUAGCAGUACCUCCUAACCAUGAACGGAAUCGAGAUAGGUUGAGGGAGAAACCAUUGCCAAAGAUUGUUGAAGGAUUUAAGGAUUUUGAAAAGGUACCACUGUAAAGCGAGAUUAUAGAGGUACAAAAGAGGAGGUAUUCUCGCGAGAUGAAGGUGCUUUUGAUGCGAGUUUUAUUGGUAUAUUAGAGAAUGGAAAUAUUAUGUAUAAGAAAGUUGAUGAUUUUAAAAGAAAAGAAAGAAAAACAUUAUAUAAUAUUGAAGGACAGUUAUGCAAGAUAGGUACAUUGCAAGAUGAUUAGAGGAUUUUGGGUGUUUAUGAAGAAAAUGGACUGGAAGAUUCAUUGGAAUUGAUUACAUCUAUUGGGUUAGGGGAUAAUGAUAAGAUUGUUGAGAUUCAUUCAAGAGAGGUUUAUACCGUACUUGAAUCUUUUCAAGCACCAGAAGUCACUGUAGAGACGAGAUAUAAAACGACAGAUAAGAAGGUAGAGCUUGUUGCCGGACCAUUACCAGAGGAUUCUAAAGAACAAAUGGGAGAAGCAUCAAAAGAAGCAAGUUUAAGAGAUCCAAUGAGUAUUGGACAUCAGUUUACUGAAGAGACUUUUGAAGAAUUGAAGAUUGGUUCUGAUGGUUCUUUAUUGCCGGAGGAAAUUACUUGCUUCAAAAAGAUGUUGGCUAAAUAAGGUAGAUCGUUUGCCUUCGAAUCUCAUGAAAUUGGGUGUGUGGAUCCAAAUAUUAUAACACCUAUGGUUAUCUUCACUGUACCGCAUGUACCUUGGAAUCUAAGACCGAUUCUAAUACCGAGGGCACAUUUACCUAAAUUGGUUGAACUAUUGAAAGAAAAGAUAAAGAUGAAAAUAUUAGAACCUUCAUUUGCGCCGUAUUCUAGUCGAUGGUUUACGGUACCUAAGAAGAAUGGGUCACUGCGGUUUAUUCAAGAUAUGCAGCCGGUGAAUGCUGUAACUGUCAGGAAUGCAGGAAUUGGACCUAUUGUGGAUGAAUUUGCUGAGGCGUUUGCUGGAAGGGCGAUCUAUUCAAUGGGUGAUUUGUAUUUAGGUUAUGAUCAAUUUCAACUUGCCGAAAGAAGUAGAGAUACGACAACAAUGAAGACACCACUGGGAUUGGUUAGAAUGUGCACUCUUCCUCAAGGCGCGACCAACUCAGUUGCGCAUAUGAUGAAUGGGAUGAAUAAGGUAUUGAGAGAUUUUAUUCCAGAAAAGACUAUGCCUUUUCUGGAUGAUGUUCCUUUAAAAGGGUGCAGAGAAGGAGACAAGGAUGAAACUUUAGAUACGAGGGGGUGUCACAAAUAUGUUGUUGAUCAUAUACAAGAUUGUAAAAAGAUUUUAACUCGGCUUGGAGAAGUUCAUCUUACAUUAUUGGGUAUGAAGUCCGUAUUUGGAGUACGAGAGGUUGUACUUGUUGGACAUUUAUGUGGAUCUUAUGGAAGAAAACCAGAUCCGACUAAAGUUGAUGCAAUUGGAAGGAUGAAAGAGGAUUGUGAUUCUUUAACAGAGAUUCGCAGGUUUUUGGGUGCAUGUGUAUUUUAUCGAAUCUGGAUCCCUUAUUUUGCUCACAUAGCGGAUCCAUUAUAUGAACUGUUACGCUGUCGUGUUGUAACACGAGUAUAUAGUAAUAAUAAAAAGAAAGGGGAAUUUUAUUAAUAUUCAGUUACCUCGAAUAUUGGGAGCAUCAACCAACUCCAGUACAAAUACUGAGUGGUCAGGUUCAGUCACUACGUUACAGUCAGCCGGGGCAUACUGAAAUGCUCCAUUCGAUUUCAAUAACGGGAGUCAGCAGGAAGAGAAGGACCAAUUCACACGACAGGUUCGAGGAGCCAAUUGGAUCCAAUUUCGAUAAUCCAAUCCGGGUCCUCUUAUCCAAUAUGAGACCUGAAUUGGCCGGUCAACCCAAUGCAGUCUAAUUACGGAAAAUCCAAGUCUUACUACGGGUCUUAGCCAAUCUGAUGCGAGGACCAAUUUGACCCAAUUACGGGAACAUCUAGGUUACUACGGGCAUUUUCCCAAUAUAGGACCUGAAUUGGUCGGGCGACUCAAUGUGGUCCCGAUUAUGGGGUUCGAUUCUGUUUCAGGCUGUCCUGUUCUCUGUACCGUUUCAGGGAACGUUGUUUUCGGUAAAUGGAUUUCUUAAAGGUUAAAACGGAGGAGAAAGCUUGACGGCGAGAGCCAAUUUCGGAUCCAAGCUUGAGAUGGGAGCCAAUUCCGGAUCUAAGACGGAAGAUUGAAGAAAUUCAGAGGAUAAGAUUAGGGGAGAAUAUAGUUUUAGGGAGGGAGGUUUUUUUUCAGGGAAAUCGGGGGGGGCAAGUUUUCAAGCUUUUGCAAGGUUACGAGUUCGGUUUUUCAUUGGAAGUUUUUGGAAGAUCAGGGGAAUUAGAGAGAGGAGCUUCAUGCUUCGGGUCGGGGAAGGAAAGACAUAGAAUUUGGAUUUUUCUUCUUCGUAGAGUUUUGGGACGACUGAGGCAAUCGCUGUUGAAGUCAGUGUUGUAAUGGUGAAUCGGGAUUUUUAAAUGAAGUGGGUUUGAAUACUCUUGACUGUUUUGUAAAAUCGAGUUACGUCUGUGAUUGAAGGAUUAAAGGGGUGUCUAUAGGAUUGAGUAUGCGGAGUGAAUGAAAUUUAUUGGGUUAAUCUAACAGGACAGUCAGUGGAUACAAGAUCGUAAGUACAAAGGGGUAUUGAAGAUUAACAGUUUGGAUUGUUCGGGGUUCUCUGUAACGUCUAGAGACCUACUGACUGGGGCAAAA